This is a long non-coding RNA of Spinacia oleracea (spinach), 847 nucleotides long. RefSeq lists it as uncharacterized. The record is from RefSeq and is a predicted model, not a curated record. The transcript has 5 exons. Lineage: Eukaryota; Viridiplantae; Streptophyta; Magnoliopsida; Caryophyllales; Amaranthaceae.
AGGCAUGUAGUUCUGCCAUGGAAAUUCCGCGACCUUCUACAUGGAAAUCGAAGCCUUCCAAACACAAAAGUGGUGAAUUACUGCAAUUAAGUUUAUGAUCUGAUUAAGCUGCAAUGGUACGCUAUGAAAUAACAUGAAAUUUCCUUGGCCUUCAAUUCCUGCAGUUACUAUACCGAUUGGAUAUGAUGAAGCAGGGUUGCCUAUCGGUCUACAAUUUAUCGGAAAACCUUAGGCUGAAGCAACAUUAAUUCACAUGGCUUCUGCAGUCCAGGUCGAUCGGACUUGGGAUAAUCAUGCACUGAGAGAACCAGCUUUAGUUGCUCACUUAAAGUAAUCCAGGAUUUUUGGCUACGUUAUUGAGAAACCCAAUUUCUUCACUUUUACUUGGUUGGCAAAAUUAGAAUCACAUACAUCUUGGAGCAUUCUGCAACUACUGGUUCUCAAAAGGGACAUUCCAUGGGAGACAUACAUGAUGACCAAGUUGAUCACUGGGACAACCCUUCAACUUUUAAGGCGUUAUGACAAGAAACCUGAGAACUAGAGAGCUUCCUUGCUGGAUGAUGUAAUUUUUCAUCUUUGCUUCUUUCUCGAAGUAUAGGCUGUUGAAGAAUUUUAGCUACAAUCUUUUUGUCAAAUGCAUCCAGUGACACAAAAUCUCUUUUAAUUUUGUUGAGAUCUGUCAUGACCUACCCCGUUCCUAACCAUAUAAUUUCUAUUGAAUGUUUGUAUGAUUAUGUUCAACAUAGAUUCAUAGAAGAGGCUUGAUUACUCUGUUUCACUAUGAUUAACAAGCAUGAUUACUUUGUUUCACUAUUUACUUUGUGAACAAUGUUUUAUCUAAUAUUUA